GACGAACGCUGGCGGCGUGCCUAAUACAUGCAAGUCGAGCGGAACUGGGGGAGCUUGCUCCUUCCAGUUUAGCGGCGGACGGGUGAGUAACACGUGGGCAACCUGCCCUGCAGAUCGGGAUAACUCCGGGAAACCGGUGCUAAUACCGAAUAGUUUGGCGCCUCUCCUGAUGCGCUACGGAAAGACGGUUUCGGCUGUCACUGCAGGAUGGGCCCGCGACGCAUUAGCUAGUUGGUGGGGUAACGGCCCACCAAGGCGACGAUGCGUAGCCGACCUGAGAGGGUGACCGGCCACACUGGGACUGAGACACGGCCCAGACUCCUACGGGAGGCAGCAGUAGGGAAUCUUCCGCAAUGGACGCAAGUCUGACGGAGCAACGCCGCGUGAGUGACGAAGGUUUUCGGAUCGUAAAACUCUGUUGUGAGGGAAGAACACGUACCAACUAACUAUUGGUACCUUGACGGUACCUCACCAGAAAGCCACGGCUAACUACGUGCCAGCCGCCGCGGUAA
RNAcentral lists this ribosomal RNA (512 nucleotides) under uncultured bacterium. Its description in RNAcentral is "partial 16S ribosomal RNA". It matches the Rfam family "Bacterial small subunit ribosomal RNA", at positions 28 to 523 of the family's 1533-position model. The record is from RNAcentral.